Molecule: ribosomal RNA, 497 nt
Filed under: uncultured bacterium
Lineage: Bacteria
Description: partial 16S ribosomal RNA
Rfam family: Bacterial small subunit ribosomal RNA
Source: RNAcentral
GAUGAACGCUGGCGGCGUGCCUAAUACAUGCAAGUCGAGCGAACGGACGAGAAGCUUGCUUCUCUGAUGUUAGCGGCGGACGGGUGAGUAACACGUGGAUAACCUACCUAUAAGACUGGGAUAACUUCGGGAAACCGGAGCUAAUACCGGAUAAUAUUUUGAACCGCAUGGUUCAAAAGUGAAAGACGGUCUUGCUGUCACUUAUAGAUGGAUCCGCGCUGCAUUAGCUAGUUGGUAAGGUAAUGGCUUACCAAGGCAACGAUGCAUAGCCGACCUGAGAGGGUGUUCGGCCACACUGGAACUGAGACACGGUCCAGACUCCUACGGGAGGCAGCAGUAGGGAAUCUUCCGCAAUGGGCGAAAGCCUGACGGAGCAACGCCGCGUGAGUGAUGAAGGUCUUCGGAUCGUAAAACUCUGUUAUUAGGGAAGAACAUAUGUGUAAGUAACUGUGCACAUCUUGACGGUACCUAAUCAGAAAGCCACGGCUAACUACGUG